Molecule: ribosomal RNA, 345 nt
Filed under: uncultured bacterium
Lineage: Bacteria
Description: bacterial SSU rRNA
Rfam family: Bacterial small subunit ribosomal RNA
Source: RNAcentral
AGAGUUUGAUCAUGGCUCAGGAUGAACGCUAGCGACAGGCUUAACACAUGCAAGUCGAGGGGCAGCACAGGGUAGCAAUACUUGGGUGGCGACCGGCGCACGGGUGAGUAACGCGUAUGCAACUUACCUAUCAGAGGGGGAUAGCCCGGCGAAAGUCGGAUUAAUACCCCAUGAAACAGGGGUCCCGCAUGGGAAUAUUUGUUAAAGAUUCAUCGCUGAUAGAUAGGCAUGCGUUCCAUUAGGCAGUUGGCGGGGUAACGGCCACCAAACCGACGAUGGAUAGGGGUUCUGAGAGGAAGGUCCCCCACAUUGGUACUGAGACACGGACCAAACUCCUACGGAGCA